GUUUAUCACCUAUAAAAUGAGUCUCUCUUGCUUCUAAGAUGUCAGAAGGAGAAAACAAUGGAGCACUGUAGGGGUUUCUUAGUUGCUCCUCCAUUUUCAACCUUGCAUUUUGACUAUCCAUGGCUACUUUGGUUGAUCUAAUAUUGAAAACUCCUGUUGCUGUGUUAUAGUCAAAAUUUGAGUCAUCAUCUUCCUUAAUAGGUCUCAUUUUAUCAAUUGAUGUUGCUCUAGUUGGAGAUUUGAGCCUUCCAACCGUAACAAAGGGCUUAGAAACUGAUUUGUUUUCUGGGGAAUGCGUUUUAUUUUCUAUGCUUUCUCUGGUCCUUCUAAUUCUACCAAUUCCUACUUUUCCCGUAUUUAAGAUGUUUUCUUCUGGACUUGAAGUUCGAACUAAAUAUUCAUCUUGAGUAUAAGAAGUCUUUGGUUUUACCCUUCCAAAAUUAUUUGAGGCUGUGCUCUUUUUUAAGUCAAGUUCUACUAAAUCUUGUAGUUUCAUUAACUCUGAUUCAAGCAUUUUUAUGGGGCUUUCAGAGGGUCCUUUUUCGGGAUUUGUACCUGGAAUGCCCAGUUCUUCCUCUUCUUCAGCUAGAUUAUCCAAGGUUUUAGGUGAACUUGUUGAAUAACUCUUAUGAGUUUGAGGCAGUGUUGGAGUUUUAAUGCGAAGAUUUUCUUCUGUUGAACCUUCAUAUUCAUCAGUAUUUGCUCUAGACUCAACAUUGUUAUCUGCAGAAGAACUUCUACCGGAUUCAGAAAUAUGGCUUUGAGCACUAGAGUAGUCUUCAAUAGAACUAUCCGAGAACCCUACACUUACAGAUCUAGUUUUGGGAUUAUUUAAAUCUGUACUCCUUGAUAUGGCCGCUUCUUUUUUGGAGCCAGACUUAGAAUCAGAACCAAAAACGGAAUCAAAAAUGGAACUGGAACUUGAACCAGAAUCAGAACCUGAACCUGAACCUGAACCUGAACCGGAACCAUUCUUUUUUGGACUGGAAUUAAGUGCGGUCGAAUAAGCAUUCAGUUCAGAAGCAAGUGCGCUACUAGGUUUUGAGUAGAAUGUCCUUGUCAAUGAUGCAUUCUUUAACUCAUUUUUGAUUUUCCUUUCUUCGUAAUCUCUUAAUCUUCUUAAAGAGUCCUUAUUUUCAUCAUUUUUAGAAUCCAUAUACCCCUCAUAAAGUAAUUCUUGAUUUUUCAGAUCACUAAUGUUAUGAUUCAUUACUGCACCAUAGGCGUAUUCUUUUUUCAAGGGUGGCCUCUUUUGCAUAGAAUCUAUUACAGAUAUUAACUUAUCCAUAAC
This 1291-nucleotide non-coding RNA is filed under the name Cryptosporidium parvum. Lineage: Eukaryota; Apicomplexa; Conoidasida; Eucoccidiorida; Cryptosporidiidae. The record is from RNAcentral.